GCCUACUGUGCUGAUACUGAUGAUAGUGUGGACCAUGAUAACUUUGUAGUGGUUGCUGGAGAAUGGGAUUUGAAUACUGUGGAAGAUUCAGAACAGGUUCGCCAUGUUGAACGUGUAUUCCGGCAUCCGUACUUUAGUGCACAGCAGAGCUGUGAUAUUGCUCUGAUCAGGUUGGCUACCCCCUUGAAUAUGACUGGGUUGAGUGUAGUUCCACUAGCUACGGAUGGAGAGGAGUUUUCAGGAGAAUUUAUUGAACUAGGCUGGUCACAGCUGGCAGG
Molecule: long non-coding RNA, 278 nt
Organism: Eurytemora carolleeae
Lineage: Eukaryota; Metazoa; Arthropoda; Copepoda; Calanoida; Temoridae
Exons: 4
Source: RefSeq, a predicted model, not a curated record